CUUAGUGAUGCACGUGAGAGGUAAUGGUGAUAUUUUGUAACAUUGUUGGAUCUGCUGUGGCGAGUCCGUAAUCAGGAAAAAGCUGAAAGAAGCAAAUAAUAUUGGUUAGUGGUGUGCCGCAACGUAAAAAAAACGUGCCGUGGCUCAAAAAAGGUUGAAAAACACUGCUCUAAUGUGCAACGACAUGUUGUUCUUCACUGCUCACUGGUGCUGCCCCAUUAACUUACAUGCAGCUAGGUAGGAACCAAAAACGAAAAUAGCUAGGAACCUAAAAGUGACAGCAUAUACUGACUGAGAGGCAGUUAUGUGCUGAAUUGGAGAAUGAAAAUACUGUGUUGUAGUAGUAAAAUACUGAUAAAAAUAGUCAGAUAAAAUCAGAUAAAAAUACUGAUUUCAUCCUUACUUUGCCCGGGUCUGUUAGGGAGGGAAUAUUUCUCACGUGACCUGGAAGAAAAGAAGGAAGAAGACUGCGCAUAUGCCACAGUGAUGAUGGUCAGUGACGGUCGUAGAAGUUCCAAAAAACCUUUGAAAGUGGUCGGCGAAUAAACGUGGCACGGACUUUCCGUAGAAGAUGGACCUGAUCUACAAGUGUCAUUUACUCAGAAAGAUAUCGGAUGCCAGGCUUUCCAUGGCAACUUGAAGGCCAAAAGCCUGAUGUUAUAUGCCUAUCUUUAUAUAUAUUUAAAUAAUAAAAAUUCAUUCACUGCAUGGUGUCUGACAUAAUAGAGUG
This is a non-coding RNA of Doryrhamphus excisus (bluestripe pipefish), 730 nucleotides long. The record is from RefSeq and is a predicted model, not a curated record. NCBI's taxonomy places the organism in Eukaryota, Metazoa, Chordata, Actinopteri, Syngnathiformes, Syngnathidae.